CCUUGACUCUGGGAUAAGCCCGGGAAACUGGGUCUAAUACUGGAUGYUACAUGUCACCGCAUGGUGGUGUGUGGAAAGGGUUUACUGGUCUUGGAUGGGCUCACGGCCUAUCAGCUUGUUGGUGAGGUAAUGGCUCACCAAGGCGACGACGGGUAGCCGGCCUGAGAGGGUGACCGGCCACACUGGGACUGAGACACGGCCCAGACUCCUACGGGAGGCAGCAGUGGGGAAUAUUGCACAAUGGGCGAAAGCCUGAUGCAGCGACGCCGCGUGAGGGAUGACGGCCUUCGGGUUGUAAACCUCUUUCAGCAGGGAAGAAGCCACAAGUGACGGUACCUGCAGAAGAAGCGCCGGCUAACUACGUGCCAGCAGCCGCGGUAAUACGUAGGGCGCAAGCGUUGUCCGGAAUUAUUGGGCGUAAAGAGCUCGUAGGCGGUUUGUCGCGUCUGCUGUGAAAGCCCGGGGCUUAACCCCGGGUGUGCAGUGGGUACGGGCAGACUAGAGUGCAGUAGGGGAGACUGGAAUUCCUGGUGUAGCGGUGGAAUGCGCAGAUAUCAGGAGGAACACCGAUGGCGAAGGCAGGUCUCUGGGCUGUUACUGACGCUGAGGAGCGAAAGCAUGGGGAGCGAACAGGAUUAGAUACCCUGGUAGUCCAUGCCGUAAACGUUGGGCACUAGGUGUGGGGGACAUUCCACGUUUUCCGCGCCGUAGCUAACGCAUUAAGUGCCCCGCCUGGGGAGUACGGCCGCAAGGCUAAAACUCAAAGGAAUUGACGGGGGCCCGCACAAGCGGCGGAGCAUGCGGAUUAAUUCGAUGCAACGCGAAGAACCUUACCAAGGCUUGACAUAUACCGGAUCGUUCCAGAGAUGGUUCUUCCCCUUUGGGGUCGGUAUACAGGUGGUGCA
RNAcentral lists this ribosomal RNA (905 nucleotides) under Kocuria sp. Its description in RNAcentral is "bacterial SSU rRNA". It matches the Rfam family "Bacterial small subunit ribosomal RNA", at positions 130 to 1045 of the family's 1533-position model. The record is from RNAcentral. Lineage: Bacteria; Bacillati; Actinomycetota; Actinomycetes; Micrococcales; Micrococcaceae.